GGGGUGUAGCAAUACACUCGCUGGCGACCGGCAAACGGGUGCGGAACACGUACGCAACUUACCCUUAACUGAUGAAUAGCCCUCCGAAAGGAGGAUUAAUACAUCGUAACAUCAAGAGGUGGCAUCACCAUUUGAUUAUAGCUCCGGCGGUUAAGGAUGGGCGUGCGGCUGAUUAGGUAGUUGGCGGGGUAACGGCCCACCAAGCCUGCGAUCAGUAACUGGUGUGAGAGCACGACCAGUCACACGGGCACUGAGACACGGGCCCGACUCCUACGGGAGGCAGCAGUAAGGAAUAUUGGUCAAUGGACGCAAGUCUGAACCAGCCAUGCCGCGUGAAGGAUGAAGGUCCUCUGGAUUGUAAACUUCUUUUAUAUGGGACGAAAUCUCUUAUUCUUAAGAGUCUGACGGUACCAUAGGAAUAAGCACCGGCUAACUCCGUGCCAGCAGCCGCGGUAAUACGGAGGGUGCAAGCGUUAUCCGGAUUCACUGGGUUUAAAGGGUGCGUAGGAGGGCAGGUAAGUCAGUGGUGAAAUCUUCGAGCUUAACUCGGAAACUGCCGUUGAUACUAUCUGUCUUGAAUCCCGUGGAGGUGAGCGGAAUAUGUCAUGUAGCGGUGAAAUGCUUAGAUAUGACAUAGAACACCAAUUGCGAAGGCAGCUCGCUACACGAAGAUUGACUCUGAGGCACGAAAGCGUGGGGAUCAAACAGGAUUAGAUACCCUGGUAGUCCACGCCCUAAACGAUGGAUACUCGACAUACGCGAUACACUGUGUGUGUCUGAGCGAAAGCAUUAAGUAU
Molecule: ribosomal RNA, 797 nt
Filed under: uncultured Flavobacteriia bacterium
Lineage: Bacteria; Pseudomonadati; Bacteroidota; Flavobacteriia
Description: bacterial SSU rRNA
Rfam family: Bacterial small subunit ribosomal RNA
Source: RNAcentral